CUGUCAACGAUGUCCAUGCAAACUGGGCAGUCAAAAAUCACAUGCGGAGAGAUUGCUGUUUCUUGUUGACAGAACGAAGGCGGAGCAGUUGAUCUAACGUGUUGGAUGACCGAUUGGAAAGAUCCUUCUGAGGGUCUACCAGGCAAUUGUGCUCACUAUGGGCCGACCAUGUCACAAUAACUUUACGAGGGUUGGGUGGCAGUACGAGUGAGGGUGAAGUGCUUCCACAUCGUUAUCGACCUUGAUACCAAACACCUCCUGGAGAUCGUUCUUUCUGUCAGAGCAGGAAAAUCUUCGAUCCCCAACGCCUUUCCUUUUCGUGAAUGGGUUUCCACAGAUCCGGCAGUGCUUAGCAAGUGCUAGUAUAUGCUCUUGACUCAUUCCUGAAGGGUUAUGUUUAUUAUAAUGUGUGCGUGUGCAUCAUUUUAUGUAAUUCAUUCUGUUAUGUAUCCUUAUUUAGUGUCAGAUUUCAGACCUAAUUUAUA
This is a long non-coding RNA of Halichondria panicea, 485 nucleotides long. RefSeq lists it as uncharacterized. The transcript is spliced from 3 exons. NCBI's taxonomy places the organism in Eukaryota, Metazoa, Porifera, Demospongiae, Suberitida, Halichondriidae. The record is from RefSeq and is a predicted model, not a curated record.